AAGGAAGAAAGCAUCUUAGAGGAGUGCUAAUUUUUCUAAGCCAUGGUUGAACUCCAUGGGUUCCUUA
Molecule: transfer RNA, 67 nt
Filed under: Gymnothorax monostigma
Lineage: Eukaryota; Metazoa; Chordata; Actinopteri; Anguilliformes; Muraenidae
Description: tRNA-Ser
Source: RNAcentral